RNAcentral lists this ribosomal RNA (253 nucleotides) under uncultured bacterium. Its description in RNAcentral is "partial 16S ribosomal RNA". It matches the Rfam family "Bacterial small subunit ribosomal RNA", at positions 524 to 776 of the family's 1533-position model. The record is from RNAcentral.
UACGAGUGGUGCAAGCAUUAUUCGGAAUCAUUGGGCGUAAAGGGUGCGUAGGUGGCAUGUUAAGUCUGUCGUUAAAUAUCUUGGCCUAACCAAGAAAAUGCGGCGGAAACUGGCAAGCUAGAGGAUGGAAGAGAGAAGUGGAAUUCUCGGAGUAGCGGUAAAAUGCGUAGAUCUCGAGAGGAACACCGAUGGCGAAAGCAGCUUCUUGGUCCAAUCCUGACACUGAUGCACGAAAGCGUGGGGAGCAAACAGG